Molecule: long non-coding RNA, 272 nt
Organism: Arabidopsis thaliana (thale cress)
Lineage: Eukaryota; Viridiplantae; Streptophyta; Magnoliopsida; Brassicales; Brassicaceae
Product: other RNA
Exons: 1
Source: RefSeq
AGGUACAUUGUUUUCUCCUAGUACAUGUGGUUGAUUUCUUCUAACAUAUUAAAACUACUGUAAAGUGACUCAUGAUUGAAAGCAUUCAUCGACUUAACAGUUACUAUUGAUAAAUUUUGGGAUUACCUAUUAAUUUAGGUUUUAGAUAUGGUGGAUGGCUAGAAUCAAUUUGAUGCAGUAGGAGAUAUUGGAUAUGAAUCUCAUUGUUAGAUGAUCAGCUGCUACAUUCAUCAUGUUUCACGAGUGCUUUGCUUGCUGUCUCGACCCUCGAC